CAGGGGUGGGGGGAGUCCCUCAGCCUGGAUUUCGGGAGGGCACACGCCAGGCCGAGGGACUCCACUGGUGCAUG
RNAcentral lists this microRNA precursor (74 nucleotides) under Myotis lucifugus (little brown bat). Its description in RNAcentral is "mir-9193 microRNA precursor family". It matches the Rfam family "mir-9193 microRNA precursor family". Lineage: Eukaryota; Metazoa; Chordata; Mammalia; Chiroptera; Vespertilionidae. The record is from Rfam by way of RNAcentral.